UUUUAUGGAGAGUUUGAUCCUGGCUCAGGAUGAACGCUGGCGGCGUGCCUAAUACAUGCAAGUCGAGCGAACAGAUGAGGAGCUUGCUCCUUUGAUGUUAGCGGCGGACGGGUGAGUAACACGUGGGUAACCUACCUAUAAGACUGGGAUAACUUCGGGAAACCGGAGCUAAUACCGGAUAAUAUUUCGAACCGCAUGGUUCGAUAGUGAAAGAUGGCUCUGCUAUCACUUAUAGAUGGACCUGCGCCGUAUU
This 253-nucleotide ribosomal RNA is filed under the name Staphylococcus hominis. Its description in RNAcentral is "partial 16S ribosomal RNA". It matches the Rfam family "Bacterial small subunit ribosomal RNA", at positions 1 to 242 of the family's 1533-position model. The record is from RNAcentral. Lineage: Bacteria; Bacillati; Bacillota; Bacilli; Caryophanales; Staphylococcaceae.